CCCUAUAUGAAUCAUUGCCUAGUCCCUUAGCAAUACUCAUAAGAAUUGAAAUUCAGGACUAAUAGUGAAUCAAAAUAUCAUGUUUAAAUAUGUCUACUUGGCUCAGAUAUGCUUCAAAAUCUAUGGUAAGUAUCAAAGUGAAUUGUAUCUCAAUUGUGAAAACACUUCUCAACAUUGUAUUCAAAAUUUGAUCUUUAUAUUAAUGCAAGGUCAGCACUUAUAAUCAGUAGAUAUCACCACAUAGAUAUAUGAAAUUCUAUCUAACAUUCAAGAAUGUUAUCCAUUCUGUAAACCUUAAUCUUUUUCCCAUAGUUAGAGUUUGCUUGGCCCUUUCUAAAUAAUUUGGGGACAGGUAGCUUUUUCCUCACGGUGUUUUUUUGACAAGAGAAGAGUGGAUAAACACUUCCUCCGUCUGAAAAUCCGAUUUUUGGAGCUUCACACUGUCUCUUUUUUUCUCUUUUUUCAUUCAUAGACAGGUAGCUUUUUCCUCACGGUGUUUUUUUGACAAGAGAAGAGUGGAUAAACACUUCCUCCGUCUGAAAAUCCGAUUUUUGGAGCUUCA
RNAcentral lists this long non-coding RNA (562 nucleotides) under Spirodela polyrhiza (greater duckweed). RNAcentral's name for it is "long non-coding RNA (SPOL_LNC001181)". Lineage: Eukaryota; Viridiplantae; Streptophyta; Magnoliopsida; Alismatales; Araceae. The record is from RNAcentral.